GUAGGUGGCAAGCGUUGUCCGGAAUUAUUGGGCGUAAAGCGCGCGCAGGUGGUUCUUUAAGUCUGAUGUGAAAGCCCCCGGCUCAACCGGGGAGGGUCAUUGGAAACUGGGGAACUUGAGUGCAGGAGAGGAAAGUGGAAUUCCACGUGUAGCGGUGAAAUGCGUAGAUAUGUGGAGGAACACCAGUGGCGAAGGCGACUUCCUGGCCUGUAACUGACACUGAGGCGCGAAAGCGUGGGGAGCAAACAGGGAUUAGAUACCCUGGUAGUCCACGCCGUAAACGAUGAGUGCUAAGUGUUGGGGGGGUUUCCCGCCCCUCAGUGCUGCAGCUAACGCAUUAAGCACUCCGCCUGGGGAUACGGUCGCAAGACUG
RNAcentral lists this ribosomal RNA (373 nucleotides) under uncultured organism. Its description in RNAcentral is "partial 16S ribosomal RNA". It matches the Rfam family "Bacterial small subunit ribosomal RNA", at positions 527 to 896 of the family's 1533-position model. The record is from RNAcentral.